UUCUUCCUCCUGCUGCGACUCUCUCUCUAACAUCAUCUGGCUGAGAUCAAAUAGCCGAAGAGACUAUAGGUGCACUGGUUCGGUGCACGAGCUUUAAGAUUACAACUUAAAAGUGCUGAAAAUUUCUUCAGUUCCUUGUUGUAUUUCGUCAGAUUCUUCUCUCCCUAUAUCCCGCUUGUCUCAAUCUUCUCCGGAACACAGAAAACGGAGAGACCCCAUCUGCGACCAUCUCAUUACUGCUCCAGAUGUAUAACGGAAUCGGGUUACAGACCCCGAGGGGGUCGGGUACAAACGGUUAUAUCCAAACAAACAAGUUUUUCGUGAGGCCGAAAACCGGCAAGGUAGCACAUGAUACUAAGGGUUUCGAGGGAGAUCAGGGGACUGGUGGGAUUACCAAGAAACCUAAUAAGGAAAUUCUUGAGCAUGAUCGCAAGCGGCAAAUUCAGCUCAAGCUUGUUGUGCUUGAAGACAAGCUGAUUGAACAAGGAUAUACUGAUGCUGAGAUUGAAGAGAAGCUUCAGGAAGCUAGGAAGACUUUGGAAGCUGCAUCCGAAGAGAGUGGGGGACUUACUGCCUCUGACACAAAGGUUUCAGAUACGCAGUCCCAUCAAAUUGCUGCUAGGAAGGAAAAACAAAUGGAAACAUUAAGGGCUGCUCUUGGUAUACGAAUGUCUGAACCAGAUGAACAAGGCAUUGAUGGGACUGAUGAUGAACUAAGAAAUAGUCGGAAGAAUGACCCAGGUGAAGGAAGCAAGUGGAGUGAGAAACGUGAACAUGCCUUUUUGGAUAGAGAGUUCACCCGCAAGAAACAUGUGGCUGAAGAUCUUGAAGUUGAGAAGGAUGAAAAUAAAAAGGGUGUUAAAGCCUUGAAAAAUAAGAAGAAAGAAGAUGAGUUUGACGAGUCAAGGCACCACCGGAAGGAAGAAAGCAAGAAGAGAAGGCAUCGGGACGAUUCUUCUGAUACGGAUAGCAGUGGGAAGCAUGCUAAAGGAAGUCGCAAGAAGCAUAGUAAAGGUAGACGAGGAAGGGAUCAUGAAACUGAAAGUGAUUCUGACCAUGGCAAGAAGAAGAGAACAUCGACGAGGCACAAGAAAAGCAGAAGACAUGACAGUGGAAGUGAUGAUUCUGCUACUGAUGACGAGACCGAUUCCGACCAUGGCAAGAAGAAGAGCAGAAUUUCUGAGAAACUCAAGAAAAGCAGAAGAUCUGGUGAUAGUGAUGAUUCUGCUACUGAUGUUGCGGAUGAUGUUGGCCUGGUUAAUCUGCAUCAGGAAGUUGAGAAACACAAGAAAUCUCGUGCAAGGCAUGACUCUGAUGAUAAUUCUGGUUUUAAUGAUCGAUGGAAUGGUGAUGGCAGUAGACAUGGGAAUGGUCGCAGAAUCAGUGAAGGUGAUAGUGAAUCCGAUCUCAACAAAGUAGGAAAGCAUAGAAGGGAAUUGACAAGUAGGAGUCACAAAAGGAAUGAUAGUGAUUCUGAUGCUAGUGGUGAUGAGAAAUUAGAGAAAAUUAGAAGUAGGAGGAGGCAUGAUAGUGAUGAAGAAGAUUCUGAUACAGUUUAUGGUAGGAAAGGGAAGAAAAUUGUUGAGGAGAUGCGAGGUUCUCUGAAAGAUGAUAGUGAUGAUAGCAAGAGCACUGAUUCUGACAGCAGUGCUAGUGAUGAUGGGCAUGGGAAAACCAUGAAGAAAAAUCUCCUAGACAAAAGUGGACGUGGAGAUCACAGGCAGAUAAUUGACAAGAAGCUAGAUUCUCUGGAUGAUGUCAGUGAGGAUAGCAGGAGAAGCAGUGAUUCUGGCAGCAGUGGUAGUGAUUACAGACAUGGAAAACCUGUGAAAAAGACUCCUGCUGAUAACAACAGAAGUGGAGGGGGGGAUGGUGGUUAUAACAAAGGUGGUCGAAGUGGUCGUGAAUCCUUUCUAGAAGAGAAGGGUUCUAGAUCUGCUGAUCUUGGCCGUGGUGAUAGACCCAGAGAACUGUACCAAUCUCAUAGAGAAGCUGUGGACAAAACCAACCUUGAUAUUCAAGCAACGGGGAGGAACAAAAGGAAACUAGAUGAUUCAACUAAGGAUGAGGAGCAUGAAUCAAAGUCAAGAAAUCGAACAAUUGGAAAAGAGGAAGGGCAUGGCAUUGAUCAUAGAGCAUAUCAAAGUAAGGAUGAUCAGAAGGGUGAUUCUUCUAAAUUGGUUAGAUCCAGAGGGCGUGAUGAUGAACAUGUUGGAGAUACACGUAAAGAAGAUGAACCACGACGUGGAAGUAGGAAUGAUCAAGAAUACAAAGAGCGUGGAGGGGAGAAAAGACAUGCCAGGGAUGAGGAGGAUCAUAGAGGGAGAAGAUACCAGAGAGAUGAAGAAGAGGAUGAUGACUACAGAAGGCAUGGAAAGAAUGAGGUAGAUCAGCGAUAUGGAAGUAGAAGGCACGGAAGAGGGGAGAAAGAAGAGCAAGGAAGUAGAGGUCAUGAGAGGGACAAGCAGAUAGAUAACUCCAAGAGGUCUAGAUAUGACGAUUCUCGUUUUAGUGAGAGGAAACGGUAUGAAAAUGACAGGCGUGAUGAUGAUCGAGUCAGAUAUAGAGAUUAAAAACUGGUCAUCUUUUGGCAGCGCAUAACUGUACAAUUACACAAACAGUAAUAUGUUGCCGGGAUGGACCCCACUGCUGAUGCAUUUUAAUGUUUAUUGCUAGCUUUACUUGCUUAGAAAACACCUGCUCGAGUUUCUUCACCGUUAAGCCAUGGAGAAUCUCAGCCGGAUCAAAUUGUUACUGGAGCCAGGGUGCUAGAAAGUGGAAAGAAGUCUGCUCCUUGAGAUUGCUCAAUACUUGGAACAGUAGUAGUAUUUUGUUGAUUCAAUGAAGAAUAUCCUCCAUAAGUGUUUGUUACGACUUGUUAUUUCCGUUGGUAAGGAUUGGGUUAUUUGACUGCUAUUGAUAGUAUGCUUGUAGCUUUGAUAUUGGGAUGCAUGCUUGCCGAUAUACAGGCAAUGCCUCUAUCAUGUGUGAAUGCUGUGCCUUCAGAUUGACCAAUAAUAUUUUGUUAUACCAUCAAAUUAUUAUUAUUAUUAUUAUUUGGUUCUUAAAA
This is an RNA transcript of Populus nigra (black poplar), 3070 nucleotides long. RefSeq lists it as uncharacterized. The transcript has 5 exons. The record is from RefSeq and is a predicted model, not a curated record. Lineage: Eukaryota; Viridiplantae; Streptophyta; Magnoliopsida; Malpighiales; Salicaceae.